Molecule: ribosomal RNA, 303 nt
Filed under: uncultured bacterium
Lineage: Bacteria
Description: partial 16S ribosomal RNA
Rfam family: Bacterial small subunit ribosomal RNA
Source: RNAcentral
AGCAGUAGCCGCGGGAAUACAGAGGGUGCAAGCGUUAAUCGGAAUUACUGGGCGUAAAGCGCGCGUAGGUGGUUUGUUAAGUUGGAUGUGAAAUCCCCGGGCUCAACCUGGGAACUGCAUCCAAAACUGGCAAGCUAGAGUAUGGUAGAGGGUGGUGGAAUUUCCUGUGUAGCGGUGAAAUGCGUAGAUAUAGGAAGGAACACCAGUGGCGAAGGCGACCACCUGGACUGAUACUGACACUGAGGUGCGAAAGCGUGGGGAGCAAACAGGAUUAGAUACCCCGGUAGUCCCUGUCUCUUAUAC